Molecule: small nuclear RNA, 105 nt
Organism: Ochotona princeps (American pika)
Lineage: Eukaryota; Metazoa; Chordata; Mammalia; Lagomorpha; Ochotonidae
Source: Ensembl
GUGCUCACUUCGGCAGCACAUACACUAACACUGGAACGAUAACGAAAAGGUUAGCAUGGUUCCUGCGCAAGGAUGACAUGCAAAUUUGAAACACUCCAUAUUUUU